RNAcentral lists this non-coding RNA (744 nucleotides) under Mimastra sp. REN-2018. The record is from RNAcentral. Lineage: Eukaryota; Metazoa; Arthropoda; Insecta; Coleoptera; Chrysomelidae.
CAAAAGUUUUAUUUAAACUUUAAAAUUUGAGUUUAUUUUUUUUUAUAUGUAAAAUUUAUUUAAGAGCGGGAUUUGCAGUAGUUAAAUUUAAUUAUUAAAGAAAUUUAGAAUUAGGAAAAUUUUAUAAUAUUAACAUAAUUUGUGCCAGCAGUUGCGGUUAUACAAAUAAUAUAAUUAAAUUUUAUUAAUAAUAAUUAAUUGUUUAUUAUAUUUUAAUAUAAUAUUUAUUAAGUGAAAUUUUAAAUAUUUAAUAUGUAUAAAUAUAUUUAUGAAGUUAAGAAAUUUAAUUAAUAGACUAGGAUUAGAUACCCUAUUAUUUUAAAUGUAAUUUUUUAUAUUAAAUUAGUAUUAGUUAUUAUCUUGAAAAUUAAAAAAUUUGGCGGUAUUUUAAUUUUUUCAGAGGAACCUGUUGUGUAAAUGAUAAUCCACGAUUAAAUAAAUUUAUUUUAUUAAUUUGUAUAUCGUCGUAAUAAAAUAUUUUAUUAGAAAUAAAUAUUUAAAAUUUUAAAUUAAAAAAUUAAUCAGAUCAAGGUGCAGUUUAUAAAUAAAUAUUAAUGGGUUACAAUAAAUUUAUUUUUGGAAAAUUAUUUUUAAUAAUAAUUUGAAUUUGGAUUUGAUAGUAAUUUUAAUAAAUUAAUUAUUAUGAUUUAAGUUUUAAAAUAUGUACAUAUCGCCCGUCGCUUUCAUUUAAUAUGAAAUAAGUCGUAACAAAGUAGAUUUACUGGAAAGUGGUUCUAGAAUAUC